GUCUAUCGAAAGGGAAUGCGGUUAAGAUUCCGCAACCGAGAUGCAGAUUUUGAGCGGUAACGCAAAUGAACUUGGAGACGCCAGCGGGAGCCCCGGGAAGAGUUAUCUUUUCUCCUUAACAGUUUCACACCACCCUGGAAUCGGAUUAUCCGGAGAUAGGGUAGUUUGAUGGUAGAGCCUUGCAACUUUGUAGGGUCCGGUGCGCUUCUGAUGGUCCUUGAAAAUCCGAGGGAAUGAAAUAGUCUUGCACUCGAUCGUACCCAUAUCCGCAUCAGGUCCCCAAGGUGAUCAGCCUCUAGUCCAUAGAAUAAUGUAGAUAAGGGAAGUCGGCAAAAUAGAUCCG
This 343-nucleotide ribosomal RNA is filed under the name Leptocylindrus danicus. RNAcentral describes it as "partial Eukaryotic large subunit ribosomal RNA". It matches the Rfam family "Eukaryotic large subunit ribosomal RNA", at positions 1589 to 1930 of the family's 3401-position model. Lineage: Eukaryota; Bacillariophyta; Leptocylindrophyceae; Leptocylindrales; Leptocylindraceae. The record is from RNAcentral.